GGACUACUGGGGUAUCUAAUCCCGUUCGCUCCCCUGGCUUUCGCACCUGAGCGUCAGGUACUUCCCAGAAUGCUGCCUUCGCCUUUGGUGUUCUUCCGGAUAUCUACGCAUUUCACCACUCCACCCGGAGUUCCGCAUUCCUCUGAAGCCCUCAAGUCCACCAGUUUCCAAAGCCCCUGCUCGGUUAAGCCGAGCGCUGUCACUCCAGACUUGGUGCACCGCCUGCGUGCGCUUUACGCCCAGUAACUCCGGACAACGCUCGCCUCCUACGUAUUACCGCGGCGGCUGGCAC
RNAcentral lists this ribosomal RNA (292 nucleotides) under uncultured bacterium. RNAcentral's name for it is "partial 16S ribosomal RNA". The record is from RNAcentral.